UGAGGAAUAUUGGUCAAUGGGCGAGAGCCUGAACCAGCCAAGUAGCGUGAAGGAUGACUGCCUAUGGGUUGUAAACUUCUUUAUAAAGGAAUAAAGUCGGGUAUGGAUACCCGUUUGCAUGUACUUUAUGAAUAAGGAUCGGCUAACUCCGUGCC
Molecule: ribosomal RNA, 155 nt
Filed under: uncultured bacterium
Lineage: Bacteria
Description: partial 16S ribosomal RNA
Rfam family: Bacterial small subunit ribosomal RNA
Source: RNAcentral